Molecule: non-coding RNA, 81 nt
Organism: Schistocerca gregaria
Lineage: Eukaryota; Metazoa; Arthropoda; Insecta; Orthoptera; Acrididae
Source: the annotation of a RefSeq genome assembly
GUUGGCGUGUCCGAGUGGUUAAGGAGUGAGACUUAAGAUCUUAUGGUGCAUACCGCGCGGGUUCGAAACCCGCCGCCAACA